RNAcentral lists this unclassified non-coding RNA (206 nucleotides) under uncultured fungus. Its description in RNAcentral is "sequence contains ITS1". Lineage: Eukaryota; Fungi. The record is from RNAcentral.
UUUAGUUUAUUUAUAUUUUCAGGUUUGACAUGGUUAAAAAGAAUUUGUCAAAGGCAAUUGACGGGCGCUGGACAGAGGUUAAACCCCCGGCGGUCCGGUUAAAGACGGGCCCGUCAAAGCAACGUGGUGAUUAUACAAAGGGUGGGAGGUCGGGCCUAGGAGACCCUAACUCGUUAAUGAUCCUUCCGCAGGUUCACCUACGGAAA